UUAUUUUCAUUAAUUAUGCUUUAUUGCUACCACAUGUCCACAAAAUCCGGCCAUUCCAUCUAGAAAUCACCUAUGGGCUGUAGUAUUACCAUCAAUCAGCCAUUACAAUCAUUUCAUACAUUAUUUUAUGGAUCUAAGAGAGAGAAAUGUACCAUUUUUGGCCUAUUUAUUCACAAGCACUUAGCUUCAUUCUCUCAAGCUUAAACCUACGAAAUUUCCUUACCAUAUCAGUCUAUAAUCAAGCCCCAUUCACACCAACAAUAAAUCAGAAGCAUCAAAGGAUCAAAAUCAAGAAAUCAAAGCUAGAAAAGGUAAAAACCCUAAAUUCUAGAAAUCCUUCGAUUCGAUGUUAAUUGGUGCAAUUGAUUGUUUAAAGUUGUGUAAUAGGGAGUCUAUUAAUGUUCUGGGUUGUUAAAUUCAGGACCCAUAACAUCAAAGUGCUCAAAAUCAAAGUUUUUCCAACUUUUGUAAAACCGAAUUCUGUUAUUUUUGGGCAAAUGUCAAGCCUUAUAUCUCUGUGGUUAUUUACUGUUUUUGGUGUUUGUAAGAUGUUAUGUGUAGCUUGUUAUGAGGUCUUUAAGAUUCAAAAAGAAUCAAGGCCAUAUCUAUUAUAGAUCACAAGUUAUAAUCAGUCAAACAGGGUUGACCAAAACUGCAAAACCAGCGAAUCCAGAAAUUUCUUGAGUGCUGUCCGUGGUCGACUUUGACCAGUAAUUUCUAGUUCGAUCUGAUGUUAUUAUGAUGAUGUUAAGGUUUGUAGUUGUAGUCCUACAUGUUGUCUACACACUAGAAGUGAUAGAGCACAAAAAUGUUACACGAUCACCAAGUUAUAGAGGUCCAAAGUAGGCACCUCGAAGCUGUUUUUCGUGAAGAACAGCUUUGGCAGCUACUUUGAGGUUCGUUUUCUCCCAGAUCUGAUGUUGUUUAGAGGUUAUGUUUGUUGGAUCUUGUAGUCUUGUAUUUCCUCUACAAGACCCAAUUUAUAGAUUGUCCAAAUUCGUUAAGAUGAGAGAGUUAUUCACGGUCAAAGUAGCCCACUCGGUUCUGCCUUAUGAAGAUCUGGGUAGGCUCAAGAACACCUAUAGCGACGGUUCUGUCACUAUAGGGGCCUUUAGCGACAGUUUUAAUUAUUUUUAAUUUCUGAUUUUCCGGAAAUUAAUUUAAAAAUUAGAAAAAUUAGUUUUUAAUUAUUAAAAAUACCAAAUAAAUUAUGAAAAAUUAUUUUAAAGUCUGAAAAAUAGUUUUUAAUUAUUUUGAGUAUAUUUCAUAAAUAUUUAAUAUUUUUGAAAUAUAAAAGGUAUUUAUUUAUUUAAUUAUAAUAUUAAAUAAAUGAUUUAAAAAUAGUUUUAAUUCAUGAAAAAUCAUGAAAAAUUAUUUUAUGGUAUAAGAAAAUAUUUUGAGUUAUUUUCCAUGACUUUUAAUAUUUUGUGAUGAAUUUCAUUAAUUAAUUAUAUAUUAAUGAUAUUAAAGUUAUUUAAUGAUUAUAUUAAAUAAUUUAGUUUAAAAAUGAUUUUAAUAUUAUAAAAAUCAUUUUAAAUGAAAUUAAGGUAUUUAAAAAUAUUUUAAGUUAUAAAAUAUAACUUUUAAUAUUUAAAGGAUAAUUUCAUUAAUAAUUUAAUAUUAAUGAUAUUAAGAUAAUAUUAAUGAUAUUUAGUUUAUUUAAUAAUUAUUAUUAAAUAAAUAGUUUAAAAAUGGUUUUAUUUAUUUAAAAAUCAUUUAAAGAGGAUAUUAAGGAUUUAAAAAUAUUUUAAGUUAUAAUUAAUGACUUUUAAUAUUUGGAUGAAUAGUACAUUAAUAUUUAUAUAUUAAUGGUGAUUAUUUAAAAAUGAUUUUAAUUGUUUUAAAAAUCAUUUAAGGGUAAUAUAAAUGUUUUAAAAAUAGUUUGAGUUAUUAUAAAUAACUUUUAUAUUUUGGCAAUGGUUUCAUUAAUAGUUUAAUAUAAAUUAAUUAUUAAUGAUAAUGGAAUUGUUUAAUGUUUAAAUCAUUUAAUUAUGAUUCCGAUGUUUGAAAGUUAUAGCCGGCCAAACUAGCUGACUUGAGAACCGAUUAUGAAGUUAUGAAGUUUUGAGGAACACCUAUAGUAACAGUUAUAUCACUAUAGGCCCGGUAGUGACAGAUUUGAAUUAUUUUAAAUUUUUCAAUUUCUGGAAAAUUCGAAAAUGAUUAAAAAUAAAAUGUUUGAUAUUUACAGAUGUUGAGGUAUAGGAUAAGAGUCUUAGACUCAGUAUUUACCCGAUAAAGCUGUCGGUACGCCGACAAAUGUCAGACCCUAUAAUAGAAAGAAAAGACUUCUGUAAGAGCAUGGAUGAGAUAUUUGAAAAAUGUAUAAAAAUAUUUCAAGUAUAGAAUAUGAACUAAAAGUAUGAUCACUGCGAUUAUGUGAUGACGUGAUUAGACUAUGUGCUGACUGUAAUAGACAGUACUAUGUGUUAUGAUAUAUUGUUCUAAUCGAACGAAUGAUCUGAUUAUUGAUAGGUUGUGAUAAAGAGAUAAAACCUAAGUUGAGAUUUGUAAUCAGCGAAUCAGGCAAGUAUCUUACCUUUGCAUUUCCUUUAUGCAAUGGACAUGAGUAAGAAGUUUCAGAAUUAUUCUAUUCCUGUACAGAUUAUGUACGCUUUGAUUAUCAACAUGUUAGCU
Molecule: long non-coding RNA, 2637 nt
Filed under: Panax ginseng (ginseng)
Lineage: Eukaryota; Viridiplantae; Streptophyta; Magnoliopsida; Apiales; Araliaceae
Description: long non-coding RNA (PGIN_LNC015469)
Source: RNAcentral